This is a long non-coding RNA of Solanum lycopersicum (tomato), 1566 nucleotides long. RefSeq lists it as uncharacterized. NCBI's taxonomy places the organism in Eukaryota, Viridiplantae, Streptophyta, Magnoliopsida, Solanales, Solanaceae. The record is from RefSeq and is a predicted model, not a curated record.
ACUUAGAAAUAGUAUUAAGGGAUUUAAGACCUCCUAGAAGAACUCUAUCCCUCUCAUUUCAUUUUUAACCUAUGAAUAUAUAGCAAGAAAGGUUUAAUCAUUUAAAAAAAUCAGAAAGAAGAAAAGAAAUCAUCUUUGAUAAUCUUUGCUUGAAAAAAUCCAUUUUCAAGCUCCUUUCCAAAAUCUUUUCAUAGAAAAACAUUGUCAAAAACUUUGGUUUUAGUCAUCAAGAAAAUCGUCUUUGAAGGAAGAAAACAGAAAAAAGGAAAGGAAAAUAUAUAAAUAAUGGAAGAAGCUAAAAAAAUUGUUGCAACUUUCACCUCAACAACAAUAUUUUUCAUGUUGAUGAUCAAUAUAAUUCACUUAAACGUUGCGGUAGGAUUACCACACAAAAAGAUUGUUGUCAUAACCAAUAAUCAUACAAAUUAUCUUAGCGUUCGUUGCUUCUCCUUUGAAGACGAUGGCAAUGUUAAGCACCUAAGUACCAUGAGCAGUUUCAAUAUCACUGUCAAAGUCAAAAAUUUCUUCUCCUCUUCAACAAUGUACAAUUGCUCAACAAACAUGGGUACAUUUGUUGCAUUUAAAUAUGAUUAUGGGUGUGUUAGCCGUUCAACGCCUUGUGAAUGGAGAUUUGAUGAGAACUUCACCUAUCGCUAUAGUCCCAAAGACCAAAAGUGGGUUGCUCAUGAAUACAAUCCAAAUUAUGAGUCACUUACUAGAGGAGGCGUCAUCAAAGGAUAUUAUGUUAACUAACUGAUAUUACAAAUGGAUGAAUUUGUGGAGAUCCUCUUUUUCUGGGGGGGCAGGGACACUCAAAAGCUUCAUGGAUAGCUUCCUCAUUUCUUUCUUGUUGACUACAUGCAUAUUAUUCGAUUCAGAGGAAAAGCUUAAAUAUGCUAUUGAUCAGUUCUGAGGGAAAAUAUUUAUUUAUGUCAUUUGUUAAAGUUUGGCUCAUUUAUAAAAUAUCAUUUUCGUCUCAGGAAAAAACUCAUUCAUGUUAUUAUUUGUUAAUUAAAUCCGACUAUGACAAUGUAAUCCAUUCGGUGCCUUGUCAAUGGAAGUUUGAUGAGCCCAGGGACAAAGAGUGGGUUCUUCAAGAAUAUAAUCCGAAUUAUGAGUCUCUUACUAGAGAAGGAGUCAUCAAAGGGUAUUAUGUCAACUAAACAUAACAAUAUAUACAUAUAUAACAAUACUGAAGAUUCAGAUAGUUGAUUCUAACUUGAUUGAUAUCAUAAUUCUCUGUUAGAAAAAGCUAACUAGUGUUUAGUAUAACAUGUAAUAGCGCUGAGAUUUUAGGUAAAUAGGUGAAAGCUAUGGAAGGCCCUUCUAGGGACAUUCAAAAGCUUCGUGGACAACUUUGUUUCCUCCUCAUUUCUUUCCUGGCAACUGCUCAAAUGGGGGACUUGGUAGGCGAGCUAUGAUCUAUAUGGUAAUAGUCAUUUUGUAUCUUAAAGUGUGCUCAUCAAAUGGGCGACUUGGUAAGCGAGCUAUGUUCUGUAUGGUAAUAGUUUUGUCUAAAAAUGUACUCAUCAAGAUACACAAUAUUGAAUUUAAGUUAUGAGCAUA